RNAcentral lists this long non-coding RNA (1018 nucleotides) under Phascolarctos cinereus (koala). Its description in RNAcentral is "lncRNA (ENSPCIG00000034590.1)". Lineage: Eukaryota; Metazoa; Chordata; Mammalia; Diprotodontia; Phascolarctidae. The record is from RNAcentral.
UGAUAUUCUCUCCCUCUCUUUCUCUCUCUCCCCUCUUUCCAUUUCUCUCCCCCACUGUCUGUCUGUCUCUCUCUGUCUCUCUUCCUCUGUCUCUGUGUCUUCCUCCCUCCUUUUCUCUCUCUGCCUCUCUCUGUCUCUCUCCCCCCAUUCCUAUCUUUCUCUGUCUCUGUCUCUUCUUCCCUCCUUGUCUCUCUCCUUCUGCCUCUAUCUCUCUCUUUCCCUCUGUCUCUCUCUGUUUCUUUUCCUCCAUCUCUGUCUCUGUGUCUUCUCUCCUUUUCUCUCUGCCUCUCUCUCUGUCUUUAUCUCUCUACCCACAUUCCUCUCUAUCUUUCUCUGUCUGUCUCUUCUUUCCUCCUUUUUUCUCUCUCCCUCUGUUUCUGUCUCUGUCUCUGUCGAAGAUGAGCACGUUUCGCUCACCCCUGCCCGACCUGUCCAGGCCAUAGGCAAUGGCUGCUGCUGUGGGCUCAUUGAUAAUCCUCAGCACGUUGAGGCCCGCUAUAACCGCAGCAUCCUUGGUGGCCUGACGCUGGGAAUCGUUGAAGUAGGCUGGCACAGUGAUGACUGCGUUGCUGACCGGGUGGCCCAGGUAGGCUUCAGCAGUCUCCUUCAUCUUAGUCAGCACCAUGGAGGAGAUCUCCUCUGGGUAGAAGGACUUACUUUCCCCUUUGUAGGACACCCACACCUUGGGCUCUCUCUCUUUCUCUCUUUCCCUGUCUCUCUAUCUCUGUCUCUCUCUCUCUCUCCUCCCAUUCCUCUCUGUCUUUCUCUGUCUCUGUCUCUUCUUCCCUCCUUUUCUCUCUAUCCAUCUCUGUCUCUCUCUCUGUGUCUCUCUUCCUCUGUCUGUCUGUCUCUGUCUGUCUCUGUCUCUGUCUCUUUGUCCACAGCUGAAGAAUUCUUAACUAGCUGUCCUGGACUACAACCUACCCGUCUCUGGAGUCAUGGUCAGCUUUGCUUCAUUUGGGAGUCAAGCCCUGCCUCCCACAGGUCUCUCAUUGAUGGCUCAUUGAAUAGUUCCCCC